GACGAACGCUGGCGGCGUGCUUAACACAUGCAAGUCGAACGCUGAAGCCCUCCAGCUUGCUGGUGGGUGGAUGAGUGGCGAACGGGUGAGUAACACGUGAGUAACCUGCCCCUGACUCUGGGAUAAGCCCGGGAAACUGGGUCUAAUACCGGAUAGGACGCAUGGCCGCAUGGUCUGUGCGUGGAAAGGAUUUUGUCUGGUUGGGGAUGGACUCGCGGCCUAUCAGCUUGUUGGUGGGGUAGUGGCCUACCAAGGCAGCGACGGGUAGCCGGCCUGAGAGGGCGACCGGCCACACUGGGACUGAGACACGGCCCAGACUCCUACGGGAGGCAGCAGUGGGGAAUAUUGCACAAUGGGCGCAAGCCUGAUGCAGCGACGCCGCGUGGGGGAUGAAGGCCUUCGGGUUGUAAACUCCUUUCGCCAUUGACGAAGCCCUUUGGGGUGACGGUAGGUGGAGAAGAAGCACCGGCUAACUACGUGCCAGCAGCCGCAGUAAAAC
Molecule: ribosomal RNA, 499 nt
Filed under: uncultured bacterium
Lineage: Bacteria
Description: bacterial SSU rRNA
Rfam family: Bacterial small subunit ribosomal RNA
Source: RNAcentral